Molecule: non-coding RNA, 2646 nt
Organism: Paramisgurnus dabryanus
Lineage: Eukaryota; Metazoa; Chordata; Actinopteri; Cypriniformes; Cobitidae
Source: RefSeq, a predicted model, not a curated record
AAAUUUUGUAUUAUUUGAUUAACGUGCUUAAGUUUUACUUGUUGACGAAGGAACCGAAAUAAACGUUGCCAGAAUUGUCCACACGUAAAAUUAGCUAGUAGGCUUAAAGUUACUCUGAACUUAUACAUGGUAUGCCAUAAAGUAUGUUUAAUGAUAGUCAAAGUUAUUACUUAAACUUAUUUAUGUAGCCUUUUGAGAGUUUCUUUCAGAAAGUAAAUUAUCUGAAAGAGAAAAGUCAUUUGGCAUGAUGGUAAUGAUUAACAUUGCAGAUGUAAAAUGUUAAAUACUGUUCUGUAUUAAAAGCUCAGUGUAAGUGUUUGAUUAACUUCCUUUGCUUUUGUUUUGUACAAAGGAAAAGCAGAACCUAAUCCAAAUAAAAAUAAACAAGCUGUUUAAAGGACUGUGUCCUACCCAGAUCCUCCUCCAAAAUAUAACCAUUCAAAAUACAAUCCAUUUGAAAAUACACUUAAACAAAUGUGAGAUGUUAUUUGUGGUGUAAAUAUCAUUACAAUUUCAUUUUAUUUACAGUUGAAGAUCAACACAAACCAAAUGAAGAUGUUGUAGAUUCUACAAACAGUAAAAAAGAAGGUAUGACAAACUGUGAUGGCACACAUCAUGACACUAAACAUCGGUAUCAAGAUGGUGUGAUUGAUCUAUACCCUAGAAUAAGCUGUGACACUGAUGCUGUGGUCACAUAAUGAACAGCCAUCUUACAGACAACCGAAAGAGGCAUAGUAUUGUUUUCUUGUGUAUUGUCAUACACCUAAAGCGGAUUUUUUGUAAUUGUACAGUUAUGGUGUUAUUCAUUCAUUAAUGUGUCCUUUCUUACCUUAAAUAACUUAUCAUUUUUUACACCUUUUGUUUUUAUUGUCUAUAUAGUAUUGUCUACAAUCCCAAAUUCUGGAUUGACGAUCCAGUUCCAGUGGGCACCCCAAUCCCAGAGAGCAUCCAUCUGAAACCAGGUGAGGUAACACAACGAAAAAAUUACCGGAUGGAGACUACCUGAUUCUUCAUCUAUGGCCUCAGCUUCAAAUGCAAGAAGUCCAGCAACUGUCUGAGUUGGUGGAUAUUCUGUCAGAGACUCCGUGGACAACGUUAUGAAUAGGUUAUUUGUCUAAGGUGAAGUAAUCUUACAGUUCUUUCACAGAAUGAUGUGAAAUUGUCUUAUGGCAAAGUUCAAUAUGAAGGGUGGUGGACAUCUGGAAAAGAAGUCUUUUAAAGGCACACCUUUGUAUUAUGUUAUUCAAGAUGCUGUGAAGAGGUGGAGCCCAAAUGCCACCGAAUCGGAAAUAGAUGCAGCUAUGGCAGACCACCUCAAGCACGCUCCAGGAAGAGCUGGGGGUGGUGGAUACAAAAAAGCCUAACAGCUGUGAUGUGUUAAAGAGAGAGUUCACCAAAAAAGGAAAAUUGUUAUAAUUUUCUUAUCCACAUGUUUCAAACCUGUAUACCUUUCUAUUUUCUGCUGAACAAAAAGAUUGAAGACUGUUUGUAACUUCACAACCCAUUAACUGUCAAUAUUUUUUUUUUUACAAUUGUAGUAAUGGGUUGUGAGAUCUGCUUUGUUAAAAACAUUCUUUCAGAUAUCUUUGUGUUCAGCAGAACAUAGAAAGGUAUACAGGUUUGAAACAUGAGAGGGAAUAAAUGACUAAAUAUAAAUUUUUGGGUGAACUAUCCCUUUAUAGAAAGUGUUUUGAAAUUGUUAUUAUAGUUAAAUGGUUAAAAAAUAAAAAGUGCUAAAUCAGAACAUGCUUCUUUUUUGGUUAUGGCGACAAAUAAUGUGUUCUUUAAUGUGUUUGUGAAGUACACGUGGUUAAAACGUUUUAUGGACGUUCAGGUCUGACUGGACCAAUUUUGAACCGAUUUUGAACCUUUGUGAAUAUGUGUUAAACCUCAAUACAAUUGAUUGCCUUUCACGAUGUUACACAGUGGGUGUAUAUUAAUUUUAUAUGCAUACAUUUAAACAAUGCAGCAACACAUUUAAACAUCCAGAAGACGGCACAUUUAGACGUCCAGGGACGGGCAGAAAAGACGUGUAAUUCACGGCCAAAUGACGUCAAAGACGUCCGCUCAACUUUAAUUUAGGGUAUUUUUCAACCGUGAUGGGACGUGACGAAGGGACGUCUUUUCAACGGUCAUAAAACGUCCAAAUGUUUGCUAUAUGGGGGCUUAAAACAUAUAUUUAAACUAUGCAGGAACACAUUUAAACAUCCAAAAGACGGCGCAUUUAGACGUCCAGGGACGUGCAGAAAAGACGUGUAAUUCACGGCCAGAUGACGUCAAAGACGUCGGCUCAACUUUCAUUUUGGAUAUAUUUUUCAACGCGGACGGGACGUGACGAACGGACGUCUUUUCAACGGUCAUCACACGUCCAAAUGUUUGUUGGGGUGUCUCAAUUCGUUCCCUAGCUCCCGAGGUCGUGAAUCAGUAUAUCGUGUACACAGGUUCGGGCACUGGUAAGGACCCUAGCUCACUUCACAUUGGGACAAUGUUCACUUAUUUUUCUGUCACGUGGCUGCUUAGCGCGUUGUGAUUAUUCACAGCUGUUACUCAUCAACAACCGGCAAAACCAACAUCUCUCUGACUUAAUUUUAAAAAACAGUACAUUGUGGAAAAUGCUGUCAUUAUUCUCUUACAUAUCUGUGCAUA